RNAcentral lists this ribosomal RNA (500 nucleotides) under uncultured bacterium. Its description in RNAcentral is "partial 16S ribosomal RNA". It matches the Rfam family "Bacterial small subunit ribosomal RNA", at positions 30 to 523 of the family's 1533-position model. The record is from RNAcentral.
AUUGAACGCUGGCGGCAUGCCUUACACAUGCAGGUCGAAUGGCAGCACGGGAGCAAUCCUGGUGGCGAGUGGCGAACGGGUGAGUAAUGUACCGGAACGUGCCCAGUCGUGGGGGAUAACGUAGCGAAAGCUACGCUAAUACCGCAUACGAUCUAUGGAUGAAAGCGGGGGAUCGCAAGACCUCGCGCGAUUGGAGCGGCCGAUAUCAGAUUAGGUAGUUGGUGGGGUAAAGGCCCACCAAGCCUGCGAUCUGUAGCUGGUCUGAGAGGACGACCAGCCACACUGGAACUGAGACACGGUCCAGACUCCUACGGGAGGCAGCAGUGGGGAAUUUUGGACAAUGGGCGCAAGCCUGAUCCAGCAAUGCCGCGUGCAGGAUGAAGGCCUUCGGGUUGUAAACUGCUUUUGUACGGAACGAAACGGCUUUUUCUAAUACAGAGAGCUAAUGACGGUACCGUAAGAAUAAGCACCGGCUAACUACGUGCCAGCCGCCGCCGUAA